RNAcentral lists this ribosomal RNA (253 nucleotides) under uncultured bacterium. RNAcentral's name for it is "partial 16S ribosomal RNA". It matches the Rfam family "Bacterial small subunit ribosomal RNA", at positions 524 to 776 of the family's 1533-position model. The record is from RNAcentral.
UACGGAGGGUGCGAGCGUUGUCCGGAAUCACUGGGCGUAAAGGGCGCGUAGGCGGCGCGGAUAGUCGGCGGUGAAAGCCCGGAGCUCAACUCCGGGUCGGCCGUCGAUACUUCCGGGCUUGAGCACUGUAGAGGCAGAUGGAAUUCCGGGUGUAGCGGUGAAAUGCGCAGAUAUCAGGAGGAACACCGAUGGCGAAGGCAGGUCUCUGGGCAUUAACUGACGCUGAGGAGCGAAAGCAUGGGGAGCGAACAGG